RNAcentral lists this ribosomal RNA (267 nucleotides) under Triticum aestivum (bread wheat). RNAcentral's name for it is "partial small subunit ribosomal RNA". The record is from RNAcentral. Lineage: Eukaryota; Viridiplantae; Streptophyta; Magnoliopsida; Poales; Poaceae.
AUGAAGUUAGAUCUUGAUGAAUUUCUGGAACAACUGAACUUGGAUGAAGAGGAAUUCGAUGACUUGGUUAUCGAUGCAGACGAUCCUGGGAUCAACGAAAGCGUUAGAUGGCUUGCCCUAGCUAGGGUUCAUACGGACAAAUCCUUUAGCCAAACUGCUUUCUACAGGGAGAUGCGUGUAGCGUGGAACACAGCCCAGCCGGUUAGGUUUCGACCGGUGGGACAGAAUCUGUUCGUGGUACAAGCUUCUUGCCUUGGAGAUUGGGAG